UACAGAGGUCCCAAGCGUUGUUCGGAUUCAUUGGGCGUAAAGGGUGCGUAGGUGGCGCUGUAAGUCGGGUGUGAAAUCCCGAGGCUUAACCUCGGGACUGCAUUCGAUACUGUGGUGCUUGAGGACUGGAGAGGAGACUGGAAUUCAUGGUGUAGCAGUGAAAUGCGUAGAGAUCAUGAGGAAGACCAGUGGCGAAGGCGGGUCUCUGGACAGUUCCUGACACUGAGGCACGAAGGCCAGGGGAGCAAACGGG
This 253-nucleotide ribosomal RNA is filed under the name uncultured bacterium. Its description in RNAcentral is "partial 16S ribosomal RNA". It matches the Rfam family "Bacterial small subunit ribosomal RNA", at positions 524 to 776 of the family's 1533-position model. The record is from RNAcentral.